UAUCUCAACACACAGUUUAUUAAAAAGAAUAAACUGACAGAAGUGGACCUUCAAUAUGGUUAUGGUGGUGUAGAUAUGAAUGAACCACUUAUGGAAACAUGAGAGCUAGCAUUGGACAUGUGGAGGAAAUUGAUGGUUGAACCACUUCAGACCAUCCUUAUCCGAAUGUUGCUCCAAGAAAUCAAAAAUGAUCGUGGUGGAGAAGACCCAAACCAGAAAGUAAUCCACGGGGUUAUUAACUCCUUUGUUCAUGUUGAACAGUAUAAGAAAAAAUUCCCUUUAAAGUUUUAUCAGGAAAUCUUUGAGUCUCCCUUUCUGACUGAAACAGGAGAGUAUUACAAACAAGAAGCUUCAAAUUUAUUACAAGAAUCAAACUGCUCACAGUAUAUAGAAAAGGUUCUAGGUAGAUUAAAAGAUGAAGAAAUUCGGUGUCGAAAAUACUUACAUCCAAGUUCAUAUACUAAAGUGAUUCACGAAUGUCAACAACGAAUGGUAGCAGACCACUUACAGUUCUUACACGCAGAAUGUCAUAAUAUCAUCCGACAAGAAAAAAAAAAUGACAUGGCAAAUAUGUAUGUCUUACUCCGUGCUGUGUCCACUGGUUUACCUCAUAUGAUUCAGGAGCUGCAAAAUCAUAUCCAUGAUGAGGGCCUUAGAGCAACCAGUAAUUUUACUCAGGAAAAUAUGCCAACACUAUUUGUGGAGUCAGUUUUAGAAGUACAUGGUAAAUUUGUUCAACUUAUCAACACUGUUUUGAAUGGUGAUCAGCACUUUAUGAGUGCAUUGGAUAAGGCCCUUACAUCAGUUGUAAAUUACAGAGAACCCAAGUCUGUUUGCAAAGCACCUGAAUUGCUCGCUAAGUACUGUGACAACUUGCUGAAGAAAUCAGCAAAGGGGAUGACAGAGAAUGAAGUAGAGGACAAGCUCACGAGCUUUAUCACUGUCUUCAAAUAUAUUGACGAUAAAGAUGUUUUUCAAAAGUUCUAGGCAAGAAUGUUGGCGAAGCGUUUAAUUCAUGGGUUAUCUAUGUCUAUGGAUUCUGAAGAAGCCAUGACCAAUAAAUUAAAGCAAGCCUGUGGUUAUGAAUUUACCAGCAAGCUACAUCGGAUGUAUACAGAUAUGAGUGUCAGUGCAGAUCUCAACAAUAAGUUCAACAAUUUUAUCAAAAAUCAGGACACAGUAAUAGAUUUGGGAAUUAGUUUUCAAAUAUAUGUUCUACAGGCUGGUGCAUGGCCUCUUACUCAGGCUCCUUCAUCUACAUUUGCAAUUCCCCAGGAAUUGGAAAAAAGUGUACAGAUGUUUGAAUUAUUUUACAGCCAGCAUUUCAGUGGAAGGAAACUUACAUGGUUACACUAUCUUUGUACAGGUGAAGUAAAAAUGAACUAUUUGGGCAAACCAUAUGUAGCUAUGGUUACAACAUACCAAAUGGCAGUUCUUCUUGCCUUCAACAACAGUGAAACCGUCAGCUAUAAAGAGCUUCAAGACAACACUCAGAUGAAUGAAAAGGAACUGACGAAAACAAUCAAAUCAUUACUCGAUGUGAAAAUGAUUAACCAUGAUUCAGAAAAGGAAGACAUCGAUGCAGAAUCUUCAUUUUCAUUAAAUAUGAACUUUAGCAGUAAAAGAACAAAAUUUAAAAUUACUACAUCAAUGCAGAAAGACACACCACAGAAAAUGGAGCAGACGAAAAGUGCUGUAGACGAAGACCGGAAAAUGUACCUCCAGGCUGCUAUAGUUCGUAUCAUGAAAGCGAGAAAAGUACUGCGGCAUAAUGCCCUUAUUCAAGAGGUGAUUAGCCAGUCAAGAGCUCGGUUUAACCCUAGUAUCAGCAUGAUUAAGAAGUGUAUUGAAGUCCUGAUAGACAAACAGUACAUCGAACGCAGCCAGGCGUCCGCGGAUGAGUUCAGCUAUAUCGCGUGACGCGGCGCUCCUCCAGCGUCGGUGUGAGAAGGUCGUUGCCAUCAGCAUCCGGUGUGUGCGCGUGGGAGAAGGCAAGCCUGUGCCUCCAUAAUUUGGUCAUUUGGCAGCCCCUGUUUCUCUGCUGUUUACAUCACCAGUGCCACGUCAUGAGCGUCAGAGAAGAUGCCUAGAGAUAUUUCAAGCUCAUGUCAUUAUGACAUUUCUUAAAACUUUAUUAAAAAAAGGAUGAGUGAAGUAUUGCUGAAAUGUGGAAAUCUGGCUGGGUACCAUGCUUUUUCUCCCCUUCACGUUUGCAGUUGAUGUGUUUUUUUUUUUUUUUAAUAUAUCUUAAAGGACAUAAGAUUUAAAAAAAAACCUAAAUUUGUAAUAUGACAGAUAACCUAAUAAUUGUAUCUACAUUAAAAUGACAAACAUGAUACUGCUGCUUGUCAA
Molecule: RNA transcript, 2352 nt
Organism: Capra hircus (goat)
Lineage: Eukaryota; Metazoa; Chordata; Mammalia; Artiodactyla; Bovidae
Gene name: cullin-2 pseudogene
Exons: 1
Source: RefSeq, a predicted model, not a curated record